AGUUUCAGUUUGUCCUGCGCCGUCGGCGUUGCGCGCCGCGUUUCUUCUGCUUCCGAGAAAGAAUUAAAGGGAUUUCAAGAAGAAAUCCCAUAAACAAAUAGUAGUUACUAAAAGUAAAGUAUUCAACGCGUGUUUUCUGCGUAUGGCGGGAGUGUGUGUGUGUGCCAUUCUAAACUCAAAUUUCCGUUGAUUACAAGCCAAGCUCACCCACACACAUGUACGCUCUCCAUCGCCAUCGCUCACAAAUUUGAGACUGCAUCGCCGAUGAAUACGAACGGAUGCAAGCAGCAUUUACAGUUCAAAUGUGCCGUCUAAUUAGAAAUGAUUUAAUUUCAAUAGCGAUUUAAUAAAAACGAAUUUGCGAAACGAAGCGACGCCGCCGCGUGUGUAUUUCGUAUGUAUGUAUAUAUGUUUGUGUCUGUGUGUAAUUCGCCAUACUUCUUCAAUUCAAAGAACAGACAGAAGAAGAACACAACAACAAGAGGGCAAGACAUACUUGAGAAAUAAAGCAAAACCAACAGCAACAACUAUUGCUAUCAACAUGAUUCUCUUUCGCUCGCUCUCCCGCUCUUUACCGUUUUGCUGUGCGCGUGUGUAAGCUUCGCUUUGUUAGUGUACGGGUAUGUAUAUAAGCGGGCGAGCAACACAAAAAAAAGACACGCUGAAUUUUCCCUAUAUUUUUGCGCCUGCCAAUAAGCGGUUCUUUUGCGGAGUUGCCACACCGCCGUGCAGAUCGUGGAAUUUUUAAUUGGAAUUGGGAAAGAUUCAUUGCGUACGCCUAUGUGUAUGUGUGUAGAGCUGAUAAGAAGCAGAGAAAGCUGAAAAGAGACGCCGCUUAUCAACGCUAAAAAGAAAAAAAAAAUCAAAAAAAGAAGGAGGAACAGAAACGAACUAAAUGGGUCGAGCACAUUGUCGUGUAUUGUGUUUUGCACUAUCGCUUAAUAAUUGAAAUUAAAGAGGAGGCGAGGGAAAUGGAGAACGCAAAAAUCCCAUUAUAAUGGAAUUGGGACUGGAGCUGGAAUUGGAAUUCAUACUACUGUUUUUAGUGGGUGGGGGUCCAGUGUUUCACAUUGAUUUUCUUAGUAUUUGUGACUAGAUCCACACUCAUUAAUAACGGUAGUUCAAUCAUCAAGCACGUGUUUUCUUGACAAACUUCGCGUGUACUUCAUUCGAAAAGCAAAGGGACAAACAGGUGGUGAUCUUUGAAAAAAAAAAAGAGACGCAAGGUAAUUAGUCAAUGUCUCGCACGCACACAACGUCAUUCAGACGGAACGACCGAAAAAAAAAGAAGGAAAAGAGCACCUGUUCGAGUGCACAAAAGAGAGGGAAAGAGAGCCCAAAAGGAAGAGCGAUAGCGGAAGAGCGACUUGAUUGCAGGCCCGAAAUAAAAUGAAAAUUAAUGCUAAUUUAGACCACUUUCGGGCCAAGCAAAACAGGCCCAGAACAAUGAUCCCCCAAAUUCAAAAUUAAUUGUAGCCAACUGCAAAGAACUGGGAAAAUUGUUAGCCUAACAACAAAGGUUAAAAGUUCAACAACUGUUGCCAGCUGAGUCACUGAUCUACGUACAGUUGCGGUGGAAAUAAUAGUGCUCUCAUUGCUCAGAUCAUACAAGAAAGUCAAUUAAGAGCAAAGAGAAAAUACAUAAAACAUAAUUUGUAUGCUUGAUAAAACUGAGUCAGUCCCCUUUUGUUUCCUUUAAAUUAUAUUUGAAUUAUGCUCAUCAUAUCCAUGGUUUUAAAAUAUUUCAAAACUAUUAUUUACCCCGCAACUGUCUUUUUUGUUAUAUUCCUCUGUAGUUCCGCCUCCCUAACUUGACUUUUUGCUCCGGUUUCUACCGGAACAAAUUGCUGAAAUACCAAAUUCUGAGAAGACACCGCUGUCGCAUAGUUUAGAUUAAUAGUUGUACAUGCAUUUGUAUACACCCCCAAACUUGACAAACAAUAAUUUCCAUCGAAUCGGGUGGCUGGCCUGUAUCACUCACUAUAUGUAUCGGAUUUUAUCCAACUCUGCUCUCUGUUUUUGUGCCCCGAUCAGCAGAAAUUCAAACUGCAGCGACGCCACAAUUCUUAAACAAUUCUCAAAGACGACGGCGAUUCUGAUUCCGAUUCCGAUUCUGUCGGCUUUUCGUCAGAGGAGAAUCAUGUUUGUGGGUGCAAGGGAGUGGUGGGAGGAGGAGGUGCCACAUAUUAUUGUAUAAAUCAGCAGAAAAAACGGCAAACUGCGGACGGGCGAACAAAAAAUAAUAAACCUUAAUUCGAAGCUCGGAGCUUGAUUCAUUCAUAUUACCCGGGGAUCCGGGCAAAAGUGGUGGUGGUGGCCGAAAAGGGUAAGGGGAACUGCUGACUGUGGCCACCCAAUUGAGCUAUGAAAACCGAUCAAACCGAUCGCAAUUGUUGGCAGGCACGAGAGCAAUGACAUGACAUGCAAACUACUAAGCCCCAAACGGAAAACCCAUUGUCCAAUGCCCAAUAUUCAAAACCCAAAACGAAAGAGAAAAACCAAAGCCAAAGCCAAACCCAAUCACCAAUCACAAAAAUGCCACAGAAAGUCGUGCAGGGGCAAUAAUCAUCAUCCGGGCGAGAAAGGAGCCCAAUAGUGGGGAUGUGGGGAAGGAUGCUCUUUUCUGACUCUAUUUUGUCGGCGAACAUGGAUCUAGUGCACGGUGGUUCAUGAUUAAGUUCGUGACUAGAUUUCAUGCUCGUCUAUUAAGUUGGGUCAGCACAACGAAGAGAGCGGAGCUUUCCAUCUCGCGGGGAUCGGAGGGAGUCGUUUUCCAACCCAACCCCUCCGGCUGAUUUGGCCAAUUAGCCAAACGCAUUAAUUAUGGGAAAAGUAUAUUUGAUUGACCCGUGACCCACAUCGAGUGGCACACGCCCCGCAGCAGCAGCAACUACCGAAAAAUGAGGGCGUGUUGCAAGAUACUCGUAGCAAGCGCCAAGCACCACUACAUGGAGUCAAUGGCCUGCUGUCCCGCAUGCUGCACAUGCGCUCAGUCCGGGAAAACAGCAGUAGCCUUGCCGAUUUGCGGUCCUUUAUCUGCCAAACGGACUGACAGCCGCCGCCGAAUGUGAAAAACCAAAGCCCACGGCAGUCAACGGUCCACCAAUUUAUGGGCUGGUGACACGCGAUUAAAAAUCGAAUCCGAGUGGCCCCUACAGAAACAGUGGCACAGGCACAGAAACAGAAACCCAGGCCACUGGGUACUGGGAACUUGGAACUGCAACGCCAAUAGAUUUUCGUGUGAAAACUCGGCGAGGGUUGUUGUUGUCGUUGUUACCGUGGCGCCUGCGGGUAAGUAACGGCUUUUUGCCCGCCUUUUGUCACAUGGUGAGAAAAAAAUAAACAAAAUAUCACUUGGAACAUGCCUUUUAAAUGUAUGUAUGUAUAUCUAUUAUAAAAAUGGAUCAACAUUCAGGGCACCCAACUGAACCACGAACUAUUUAGUUACGCAAAUUCAACAGAAAACCAUUCAGUAGCAAAUGUCUUAGUGAUCCAUAAUACCUUGUACUUGUACAAUAAUCUAUUUACAAUCCACAGGUUUUUGUUACACUUCUAUUAAAAGUUAAACGACCUUUUCGUUAAGAUUGUCAUGUCAAUUGAAUUGUAUUAUCAAAUGUUUAAAGCUUGCUGAAUGGAGUUCGUUUCAAAAUGCUAGAAAGUGCUAUUAAAAUAGAGGAAGUAGUAAAAUAAUAAUCGAAGUAAAAGAUCAUACUUAAAACGGAUAAUCUACAAUGUUUUUUCCGGUGCAGUUGUUGUUGCCAACGACAACAAGACGACACAUACACAUGUACCUACAUAUGUACGUAUGUAUGUGCGUUCUGUUGCGUGGGCGUUUGAGUGUAACUGUAACACCUGCUGCCGCUAUUAACACAGCAUUUCGCUGCUCUCCAAUUUUAAUUUCAGGCCAAAGGAAUGAAGCCGGAACACCUUUCAACCCCGUGGGCCAUUGUUAGUGCUCCGUGGCUAGGGAUAGAUGGCUACUGUAUGGCCACUUGCUGCACGGCCAUGAAGCUACUCCUCCCACACGAUUUGCUUCACGCUCAUUUAAAUGCCAACGCACCGCAGGGAGGAGAGAGCAGGGCACUUCACUUCGGCGGCUCGGCUGGCUUAUUUACAUAUUUUCUAAAUGAAUAUGGGCCCCGCGAGUUUGCAACCCCGACCGGCGGUGGCAAAGCCGAGAAGCGCAUUCAGUUGCAACGGCCGCGGCAGCUGGCUUUCCCUGCACUGGAUUUCCACUUCCUCCUGGUCGAAGCAGCCGCAGCAGCAGCAGCAAUAACAAUCAGGAACAGCAGCAGCAGCAGCAACAAGAAGCCGUCAAACGCCGCAACUAAUUGAUAUAAUAGUUAAAAGAACAAACUAACGAGAAAGAGGUUGUCGUCGUCGAACGCGGCGCGUUGGAGAAGUGCAAAACCUUUCCAAUUUGAAAAUAGUUUUCCUGCUAUGUGUGCUCGUUCCCACAAGCGCGGCAAUACCAACUCAUACCAACCCACGGCUCCAACACCACCAGAUGCAGCAACAACUGCAUCAACAGCAACAUCGGCUCAGAACAAGCACAAGCAGCGAAAGCCUGCACUUCGCCAAGCGGUGAUUGGGAAAAGGGGCUGCAGCUGGAGUUGGAGUUGCAGCCAGAGUAGAAGCUGGAGCUGGAGCUGGAGAAGAUGACAAUGCAGCGAUUAGAGCAAUGCAGAACUUGAACUCUACGACGGCGGCAGCUGGAAAAAUGUUUGCCCCGAUCCCCGGGACACCGACUCAGUCACUCAGUCCGUCCCAAUGCGCGGCAUUUCCGUUCGGAAAAAAAAGAGGAUGCUGUCGAGAAGGAAGGCCCUCGAUCGAUUCGAUGCUGAUGCAUUCUGCAGGGGUGGGGGGAACGUAGUGAUCAUGUUUGUAGCAUCUAAAUAAAGUACCUGUAAUGGUUUUCAUUAAGUAAUGCGUCGUCUUUGGCUUCUUGGUUUAUGAACACGGCAAAUAUUUAAUGUGAGAUAAAAAAUGUUCAAUAUUCAGAUCAUUGACCUAAACAACAGAAGAACUUAAGGAUGUCAACAAUAUAUAAACUUCACAAAUACUGCUUUCUUUGACGUUGUAAUAUAAAUAAAACGUUUUUAUAUU
Non-coding RNA from Drosophila melanogaster (fruit fly), 5106 nucleotides. The record is from Ensembl. Lineage: Eukaryota; Metazoa; Arthropoda; Insecta; Diptera; Drosophilidae.